GGUGAUUUAGCUCAGUGGUGUAAGCUCCUGCCUGGCAAGCACAAGGUGGUGAGUUCAAUCACCG
This 64-nucleotide transfer RNA is filed under the name Cavia porcellus (domestic guinea pig). It matches the Rfam family "tRNA". Rfam says of the family: Transfer RNA (tRNA) molecules are approximately 80 nucleotides in length. Their secondary structure includes four short double-helical elements and three loops (D, anti-codon, and T loops). Lineage: Eukaryota; Metazoa; Chordata; Mammalia; Rodentia; Caviidae. The record is from Rfam by way of RNAcentral.